UCCUUCGGGAUGUAAACUUCGCAAGAACAGGAAGAAUAAGUAAGAGUUAAUAUCUCUUACGAUGACGGUACUGUUUGUAAGCUCCGGCUAACUCCGUGCCAGCAGCCGCGGUAAUACGGGGGGAGCAAGCGUUGUUCGGAUUUACUGGGCGUAAAGGGCGCGUAGGCGGCCACCGCAAGUCGACUGUGAAAUCUCCGGGCUUAACCCGGAAAGGUCAGCCGAUACUGCGGGGCUAGAGUGCAGAAGGGGCAACUGGAAUUCUCGGUGUAGCGGUGAAAUGCGUAGAUAUCGAGAGGAACACCUGCGGCGAAGGCGGGUUGCUGGGCUGACACUGACGCUGAGGCGCGAAAGCUAGGGGAGCGAACGGGAUUAGAUACCCCGGUAGUCCUAGCCUUAAACGAUGAAUGCUUGGUGUCUGGGGUUUUAUAGUCCCCGGGUGCCGUCGCUAACGCUUUAAGCAUUCCGCCUGGGGAGUACGGUCGCAAGACUGAAACUCAAAGAAAUUGACGGGGGCCUGCACAAGCGGUGGAGUAUGUGGCUUAAUUCGAUGCAACGCGAAGAACCUUACCUGGGCUUGAACUGUGGUGAACGGGCUUGAAAACAG
Molecule: ribosomal RNA, 604 nt
Filed under: uncultured Desulfovibrio sp.
Lineage: Bacteria; Pseudomonadati; Thermodesulfobacteriota; Desulfovibrionia; Desulfovibrionales; Desulfovibrionaceae
Description: bacterial SSU rRNA
Rfam family: Bacterial small subunit ribosomal RNA
Source: RNAcentral